Molecule: unclassified non-coding RNA, 257 nt
Filed under: fungal sp.
Lineage: Eukaryota; Fungi
Description: partial internal transcribed spacer region
Rfam family: Eukaryotic small subunit ribosomal RNA (bases 1-46)
Source: RNAcentral
AAGUCGUAACAAGGUUUCCGUAGGUGAACCUGCGGAAGGAUCAUUACUGAGUUAGGGUCUUUCUGGCCCGACCUCCAACCCUUUGUUUACUACACCCCAUGUUGCUUUGGCGGGCCUGCCUUUCGGGGCUGCCGAGGGCAUCACUGCCCUUGACCUGUGCCUGCCAGGAGCCUUCUUUAAAUUCUGUGUUCAACUGUGUUGUCUGAGUCCCAAUAUCAAAAUAUAAAAAACUUUCAACAACGGAUCUCUUGGUUCUG